Molecule: long non-coding RNA, 866 nt
Filed under: Ananas comosus (pineapple)
Lineage: Eukaryota; Viridiplantae; Streptophyta; Magnoliopsida; Poales; Bromeliaceae
Description: long non-coding RNA (ACOM_LNC019553)
Source: RNAcentral
CGGCACUCAUAGGAGCGAUCCAACUGAGUAUGCAAGUGUGUCUCUGUCGAGCUCAAUCAGGCUUUCACAGGCUAUAGUCAAUGCAAACAGGUCAAACUGAUCUAACAAGCAAGGCUCACGUGCCCUCGGCACAAUCUGAUAUAAGAUGUAAACAUCUAGGUCCACCGUCCGCCCCGACGGCACUCGACAGUAUGAAACAAUCCAAACUCUACUGUAAAAUGAGCUCGGCCCCUCAGCAUGAGUGUAAUCCCAACCUACACUAAUCUAAAUAUUCACGACACACUAACAGCGGUGAUACAACAAAAAAAUUAGCUCAUGAAGCUUGUUGGCAUUCGGUUAAAUCGAAUCGGGUGCGCCCAUGAAUGGGUUCGAUCCGACGGUUAUUACGUUAUCUAAUUGGAUUAGGAUUAAUCUCACUUUUAAAUUGGAAAGCUAAUUAGAGAUAAAUCCUAAUCAUAUUAGGAUAACAAUUAAUAACCGAUUUGGCCUUAUCUAUACUAGAAACCGCAUACUGCCAGCAUAAAGACAUCAACCCUCAAAAAGAAACGUUAGACUCGUGAUGUCCUAGACAAUUGAAUUACAUCAGAUUCAACAUCUCUAAUCCCUCAAAGAGCCAUGCUAACCUCUAUUGCGCACAUUAUGACACUAUACUGAUGAUUGUUUCGCUAUGCUGAAGCGACACAACCUGUCGACAAUGAGUCAAAGUGUCUGAAUGUAAUUCAACUAGUCUUCCUUGAGCCCUCAUGCCACCGAGUUGAGAACUGAUUGCUUUCCCAGCAAUGCCCCGUAAAGCCGCAUCACUCAUAGCCGUAGGAAACAUGCCAAAGUAACAACAUCAAUUCUUUCACUUAAUGACAUAAUCAAAA